RNAcentral lists this long non-coding RNA (253 nucleotides) under Oryza brachyantha (malo sina). Its description in RNAcentral is "long non-coding RNA (OBRA_LNC002932)". The record is from RNAcentral. Lineage: Eukaryota; Viridiplantae; Streptophyta; Magnoliopsida; Poales; Poaceae.
CUCAAGGAGAUUUUGUCGUCUGAGUAGCCACAGCUUCGACAAGUCGAGGCACUUGAUCAGAAAGUGAAGAUGAACAAACUUGCAUUAAUUUGCCAUUCCUUAACUCUCAAUCGUCAGUUUACCAACUCUUUUAUGUAAUGCUUGGCUUAAGAGAACCUAAGUCAUUAUCCAUGGAUUGACCCUCAAAAUUUAAUUUCACCUGUUUGUUUUCUUACCAAAGAGCUGAGAAUUUUUUGCAUAGGUUUCCUCAUGC